UUGUAAAGAAAAUUAAUUGGUGGGAAUGCAAAAACACAAAAUAAACAUGCAAAUGCAGUUGAUUCAAUUGACGAGAAAAAGACUAUGGAUGAAUGGAGUUGUUGGGGGUUUACAAUUUCAUCUUAUUUGCUCCCUCUUAUCUACUCCUCUUGUUUAAUUUGUUUUGUUAUCUAAUUGUUAUGCAAACUUUCUUGGCCUACCCUUAACCCGAUCCNUCGGCGAAAAGAGCCUAUUACUAAUUACUGGCUUGCUAUCCCUAGCCUCCCCUAACAAUUAAUAACGCGUUAAGAACAGAAGCAAAAACAAUUUAUCGUCCUACCCCCCUAUCCCUACGUGGUAUUGCUUAACCAAGGAGUUUCUCACUAGUUCAUCAUAGUACCGUACGUCCCCGUAUCAAUAAAGACAAACAAUAGUUAUCGAAUGAGUUAAACGAUAAAAGCUUUAAGCGCAAUGAGAACCAAACAGUUGAUAAUCAAAGCAUACGACAAGCAUAUAAAUAAACAAGAGUUUCAAUAAAAGAGAGUUUCAAAAGAUUACACUGUUUCCCCCAACAACAAAAGGGUUUAGUUCACCAUUGUCAUGGUGAACUUAGAUGAAAAAUGAUGGAAGAAUGGAAGAGCAAACCCUAGAUAGGAUAAAAAGGAGCCUAAGCAUCCAAGAGAUCUUCUCCAAGGAGUGAAAAUUAGGUCUGGCCGCCCUCUUCUGUCAAAAGAAUGACUCUCAAGUUGCAAUAGGGCUAUUUAUAGAUGAGGAGCGUCACAUAAAACAGGCCCAGGCCCAGCAGACAACCGCCC
RNAcentral lists this long non-coding RNA (794 nucleotides) under Vigna radiata. RNAcentral's name for it is "long non-coding RNA (VRAD_LNC011070)". The record is from RNAcentral. Lineage: Eukaryota; Viridiplantae; Streptophyta; Magnoliopsida; Fabales; Fabaceae.